GAUGAACGCUGGCGGCGUGCCUAAUACAUGCAAGUCGAGCGAACGGACGAGAAGCUUGCUUCUCUGAUGUUAGCGGCGGACGGGUGAGUAACACGUGGAUAACCUACCUAUAAGACUGGGAUAACUUCGGGAAACCGGAGCUAAUACCGGAUAAUAUUUUGAACCGCAUGGUUCAAAAGUGAAAGACGGUCUUGCUGUCACUUAUAGAUGGAUCCGCGCUGCAUUAGCUAGUUGGUAAGGUAACGGCUUACCAAGGCAACGAUGCAUAGCCGACCUGAGAGGGUGAUCGGCCACACUGGAACUGAGACACGGUCCAGACUCCUACGGGAGGCAGCAGUAGGGAAUCUUCCGCAAUGGGCGAAAGCCUGACGGAGCAACGCCGCGUGAGUGAUGAAGGUCUUCGGAUCGUAAAACUCUGUUAUUAGGGAAGAACAUAUGUGUAAGUAACUGUGCACAUCUUGACGGUACCUAAUCAGAAAGCCACGGCUAACUACGUGCCAGCAGCCGCGGUAAUACGUAGGUGGCAAGCGUUAUCCGGAAUUAUUGGGCGUAAAGCGCGCGUAGGCGGUUUUUUAAGUCUGAUGUGAAAGCCCACGGCUCAACCGUGGAGGGUCAUUGGAAACUGGAAAACUUGAGUGCAGAAGAGGAAAGUGGAAUUCCAUGUGUAGCGGUGAAAUGCGCAGAGAUAUGGAGGAACACCAGUGGCGAAGGCGACUUUCUGGUCUGUAACUGACGCUGAUGUGCGAAAGCGUGGGGAUCAAACAGGAUUAGAUACCCUGGUAGUCCACGCCGUAAACGAUGAGUGCUAAGUGUUAGGGGGUUUCCGCCCCUUAGUGCUGCAGCUAACGCAUUAAGCACUCCGCCUGGGGAGUACGACCGCAAGGUUGAAACUCAAAGGAAUUGACGGGGACCCGCACAAGCGGUGGAGCAUGUGGUUUAAUUCGAAGCAACGCGAAGAACCUUACCAAAUCUUGACAUCCUUUGACAACUCUAGAGAUAGAGCUUUCCCCUUCGGGGGACAAAGUGACAGGUGGUGCAUGGUUGUCGUCAGCUCGUGUCGUGAGAUGUUGGGUUAAGUCCCGCAACGAGCGCAACCCUUAAGCUUAGUUGCCAUCAUUAAGUUGGGCACUCUAAGUUGACUGCCGGUGACAAACCGGAGGAAGGUGGGGAUGACGUCAAAUCAUCGUGCCCCUUAUGAUUUGGGCUACACACGUGCUACAAUGGACAAUACAAAGGGCAGCGAAACCGCGAGGUCAAGCAAAUCCCAUAAAGUUGUUCUCAGUUCGGAUUGUAGUCUGCAACUCGACUACAUGAAGCUGGAAUCGCUAGUAAUCGUAGAUCAGCAUGCUACGGUGAAUACGUUCCCGGGUCU
Molecule: ribosomal RNA, 1372 nt
Filed under: uncultured bacterium
Lineage: Bacteria
Description: bacterial SSU rRNA
Rfam family: Bacterial small subunit ribosomal RNA
Source: RNAcentral